UGAACUGAUGGUCACCGUCUUCUUUGUUC
This 29-nucleotide small RNA is filed under the name Bombyx mori (domestic silkworm). Its description in RNAcentral is "ovarian small RNA-30821". The record is from RNAcentral. Lineage: Eukaryota; Metazoa; Arthropoda; Insecta; Lepidoptera; Bombycidae.